This 496-nucleotide ribosomal RNA is filed under the name uncultured bacterium. RNAcentral's name for it is "partial 16S ribosomal RNA". It matches the Rfam family "Bacterial small subunit ribosomal RNA", at positions 28 to 506 of the family's 1533-position model. The record is from RNAcentral.
GAUGAACGCUGGCGGCGUGCCUAAUACAUGCAAGUCGAGCGAACAGACGAGGAGCUUGCUCCUCUGACGUUAGCGGCGGACGGGUGAGUAACACGUGGAUAACCCACCUAUAAGACUGGGAUAACUUCGGGAAACCGGAGCUAAUACCGGAUAAUAUAUUGAACCGCAUGGUUCAAUAGUGAAAGACGGUUUUGCUGUCACUUAUAGAUGGAUCCGCGCCGCAUUAGCUAGUUGGUAAGGUAACGGCUUACCAAGGCAACGAUGCGUAGCCGACCUGAGAGGGGGAUCGGCCACACUGGAACUGAGACACGGUCCAGACUCCUACGGGAGGCAGCAGUAGGGAAUCUUCCGCAAUGGGCGAAAGCCUGACGGAGCAACGCCGCGUGAGUGAUGAAGGUCUUCGGAUCGUAAAACUCUGUUAUUAGGGAAGAACAAAUGUGUAAGUAACUAUGCACGUCUUGACGGUACCUAAUCAGAAAGCCACGGCUAACUACGU